RNAcentral lists this ribosomal RNA (277 nucleotides) under uncultured Pseudomonas sp. Its description in RNAcentral is "partial 16S ribosomal RNA". It matches the Rfam family "Bacterial small subunit ribosomal RNA", at positions 1107 to 1382 of the family's 1533-position model. The record is from RNAcentral. Lineage: Bacteria; Pseudomonadati; Pseudomonadota; Gammaproteobacteria; Pseudomonadales; Pseudomonadaceae.
GUCCUUAGUUACCAGCACGUUAUGGUGGGCACUCUAAGGAGACUGCCGGUGACAAACCGGAGGAAGGUGGGGAUGACGUCAAGUCAUCAUGGCCCUUACGGCCUGGGCUACACACGUGCUACAAUGGUCGGGUACAAAGGGUUGCCAAGCCGCGAGGUGGAGCUAAUCCCAUAAAACCGAUCGUAGUCCGGAUCGCAGUCUGCAACUCGACUGCGUGAAGUCGGAAUCGCUAGUAAUCGUGAAUCAGAAUGUCACGGUGAAUACGUUCCCGGGCCUU